UUACGGCCAUUUCAUGUUGGAACACUGGUUCACGUACGAUCACUAAAGUUAAGUAACGUUGAGCUUGGUCAGUACUCUGAUGGGUGACAGCUUGGGAAUAACAGAUGC
Molecule: non-coding RNA, 108 nt
Organism: Acanthosepion pharaonis
Lineage: Eukaryota; Metazoa; Mollusca; Cephalopoda; Sepiida; Sepiidae
Source: the annotation of a GenBank genome assembly